This 425-nucleotide ribosomal RNA is filed under the name uncultured bacterium. RNAcentral's name for it is "bacterial SSU rRNA". It matches the Rfam family "Bacterial small subunit ribosomal RNA", at positions 355 to 772 of the family's 1533-position model. The record is from RNAcentral.
UGGGGAAUAUUGGACAAUGGGGGCAACCCUGAUCCAGCAACGCCGCGUGGAGGACGAAGGUCUUCGGAUUGUAAACUCCUGUCAGAGGGGACGAAGGUUGCGGGGUUAACAGCCGCGUAACUUGACGGUACUCUCAGAGGAAGCCCCGGCUAACUCUGUGCCAGCAGCCGCGGUAAUACAGAGGGGGCUAGCGUUAUUCGGAAUUAUUGGGCGUAAAGGGCGCGUAGGCGGCCUGAUGUGUCUACGGUGAAAUCCCUCGGCUCAACCGAGGAACUGCCGUGGAAACUGUCGGGCUCGAGGCCGGGAGAGGGUGGUGGAAUUCCCAGUGUAGCGGUGAAAUGCGUAGAUAUUGGGAGGAACACCGGUGGCGAAGGCGGCCACCUGGACCGGUUCUGACGCUGAGGCGCGAAAGCGUGGGGAGCAAA